Molecule: ribosomal RNA, 451 nt
Filed under: uncultured bacterium
Lineage: Bacteria
Description: bacterial SSU rRNA
Rfam family: Bacterial small subunit ribosomal RNA
Source: RNAcentral
ACUCCUACGGGAGGCAGCAGUGGGGAAUCUUGGACAAUGGGGGCGAACCCUGAUCCAGCCAUGCCGCGUGAGUGAUGAAGGCCUUAGGGUCGUAAAGCUCUUUCGCCAGGGAUGAUAAUGACAGUACCUGGUAAAGAAACCCCGGCUAACUCCGUGCCAGCAGCCGCGGUAAUACGGAGGGGGUUAGCGUUGUUCGGAAUUACUGGGGCGUAAAGCGCGCGUAGGCGGACCAGAAAGUUGGGGGUGAAAUCCCGGGGGCUCAACCCCGGAACUGCCUCCAAACUCCUGGUCUAGAGUUCGAGAGAGGUGAGUGGAAUUCCGAGUGUAGAGGUGAAAUUCGUAGAUAUUCGGAGGAACACCAGUGGCGAAGGCGGCUCACUGGCUCGAUACUGACGCUGAGGUGCGAAAGUGUGGGGGAGCAAACAGGAUUAGAUACCCUGGUAGGAUAGCG